GAGUUUGAUCCUGGCUCAGGACGAACGCUGGCGGCGUGCCUAAUACAUGCAAGUCGAGCGGACAGAAGGGAGCUUGCUCCCGGAUGUUAGCGGCGGACGGGUGAGUAACACGUGGGUAACCUGCCUGUAAGACUGGGAUAACUCCGGGAAACCGGAGCUAAUACCGGAUAGUUCCUUGAACCGCAUGGUUCAAGGAUGAAAGACGGUUUCGGCUGUCACUUACAGAUGGACCCGCGGCGCAUUAGCUAGUUGGUGAGGUAACGGCUCACCAAGGCGACGAUGCGUAGCCGACCUGAGAGGGUGAUCGGCCACACUGGGACUGAGACACGGCCCAGACUCCUACGGGAGGCAGCAGUAGGGAAUCUUCCGCAAUGGACGAAAGUCUGACGGAGCAACGCCGCGUGAGUGAUGAAGGUUUUCGGAUCGUAAAGCUCUGUUGUUAGGGAAGAACAAGUGCAAGAGUAACUGCUUGCACCUUGACGGUACCUAACCAGAAAGCCACGGCUAACUACGUGCCAGCACG
RNAcentral lists this ribosomal RNA (523 nucleotides) under uncultured bacterium. RNAcentral's name for it is "bacterial SSU rRNA". It matches the Rfam family "Bacterial small subunit ribosomal RNA", at positions 9 to 515 of the family's 1533-position model. The record is from RNAcentral.